AUACGGAGGAUCCGAGCGUUAUCCGGAUUUAUUGGGUUUAAAGGGAGCGUAGGUGGGAUAUUAAGUCAGCUGUGAAAGUUUGGGGCUCAACCUUAAAAUUGCAGUUGAUACUGGUUUCCUUGAGUACGGUACAGGUGGGCGGAAUUCGUGGUGUAGCGGUGAAAUGCUUAGAUAUCACGAAGAACUCCGAUCGCGAAGGCAGCUCACCGGGCCGGAACUGACACUGAUGCUCGAAAGUGCGGGUAUCAAACAGGAUUAGAUACCCUGGUAGUCCGCACAGUAAACGAUGAAUACUCGCUGCGUGCGAUACACGGUAAGCGGCCAAGCGAAAGCGUUAAGUAUUCCACCUGGGGAGUACGCCGGCAACGGUGAAACUCAAAUGAAUUGACGGGG
RNAcentral lists this ribosomal RNA (393 nucleotides) under uncultured bacterium. Its description in RNAcentral is "partial 16S ribosomal RNA". It matches the Rfam family "Bacterial small subunit ribosomal RNA", at positions 523 to 918 of the family's 1533-position model. The record is from RNAcentral.